UGGGGAAUCUUGGACAAUGGGGGCAACCCUGAUCCAGCGAUGCCGCGUGUGUGAAGAAGGCCUGCGGGUUGUAAAGCACUUUUGUUAGGGAAGAAAGGUUGGGGUUAAUAGCCUUUAACUGUGACUGUACCUAAAGAAUAAGCACCGGCUAACUCUGUGCCAGCAGCCGCGGUAAUACAGAGGGUGCAAGCGUUAAUCGGAAUGACUGGGCGUAAAGGGCGAGUAGGCGGUUAUAUAGGUGUGGUGUGAAAGACACGGGCUUAACCUGUGGGUGUCACCGCAAACGGUAUGACUAGAGUGCAGUAGAGGGGAGUGGAAUUUCCGGAGGAGCGGUGAAAUGCGUAGAUCUCGGAAGGAACACCGGUGGCGAAGGCGACUCUCUGGACUGCAACUGACGCUGAGGCGCGAAGGCGUGGGGAGCAAACAGGAUUAGAUACCCCCGUAGUCC
Molecule: ribosomal RNA, 448 nt
Filed under: uncultured bacterium
Lineage: Bacteria
Description: bacterial SSU rRNA
Rfam family: Bacterial small subunit ribosomal RNA
Source: RNAcentral